This 228-nucleotide ribosomal RNA is filed under the name uncultured bacterium. RNAcentral describes it as "partial 16S ribosomal RNA". It matches the Rfam family "Bacterial small subunit ribosomal RNA", at positions 568 to 796 of the family's 1533-position model. The record is from RNAcentral.
UGCGUAGGCGGCCUGACAAGUCAGAGGUGAAAGGCUACGGCUUAACCGUAGUAAGCCUUUGAAACUGACAGGCUUGAGUGCAGGAGAGGAAAGUGGAAUUCCUAGUGUAGCGGUGUAAUGCGUACAUAUUAGGAGGAACACCAGUGGCGAAGGCGACUUUCUGGACUGUAACUGACGCUGAGGCACGAAAGCGUGGGGAGCGAACAGGAUUAGAUACCCUGGUAGUCC